This 6822-nucleotide long non-coding RNA is filed under the name Nicotiana tabacum (common tobacco). RNAcentral describes it as "long non-coding RNA (NTAB_LNC014283)". The record is from RNAcentral. Lineage: Eukaryota; Viridiplantae; Streptophyta; Magnoliopsida; Solanales; Solanaceae.
AAAACAAAAGAGAAGCAGAAUAAAGCAAGUAUAGUAAACAUAAAAUUGAAAACGAAGUUUAUUAAUGGUAAGAGGGAGGAGGAAGAAGAGAGACAUGGGCAUAAAACAUAAGCCAUUUGACUAUGACAGUAUCCAUGUUACACUAAGAUGACUAAGAUAUGGUUAACUCAAUCGAGAAUCAAAUCAUGUGGGUUUCUUGUCCCUUUUUUUGUUCCAUCGCCGUUGGUCAAAAAAUCACUGCUCCUCGCAAAUGGCCGUGCAUGUUUUGUAAUUGCCAUGUGAUAUUGCCGGUGUUCCGCGCACGCUGGACGGCUAUUAGACAUACUAUGCCACAAUGCAUUGGGACACAUGCCGUCAUGUGUUUGUUUCCCUUCCUCCAUACUGCGUGGCUUCUAUAUCUUCAUAUUUUUUUUUGUUCCCAUCCAAUAUUUGAUAUCCCCUUUCGGGUUUUGACUAAUUCUGAUUUGAGCCGUGUAAGACCCUUCAAAAGAAGAAGCACUCUCCAAAAUCUUUUUCAUAUCCAAAGCUCAAAUUCAAGAUAUUUAGCUAAGAGUCAAGAAAUCUUAUCCAUCAAUGACCUUAUCUAUCAUGUCAAAAGGAAAUGUCGUUUUGCUUUCUGUUUGUUCGAACAAAAUCAAUCAUAUUUAAAACAUAGCCACCAAAUUAAGCAAGAUUUUGUGCAUCUUUUCUGGAAUACCUUAAAAAGAUGGCCGCUAAGAAAUUGUUGCAACUUGCCUAUACUCUGUUUCUUUGAUUUUCAUUCCACGAAAUAAAUAUUUGUAAGGAAGUUUGUAGUUUUAUUCCCUCAAAUAUUAACAAGUUCUGCUUUUGAUCAUUAUAAUAUUUGGUUUAGCAUAACAUUCAAUCAAUUGACAUAUAAACUUUUGACCCCUCAACUCUUGAAUCUUCACAAAUUNNNNNNNNNNNNNNNNNNNNNNAUAUUAUGUUAAGUUUGUGUGGUUUGUGUCGUAACAAAUGAACACGAGAAAAGGGAUCUACUUACAUAAGUAUGUCUCAUAGGACUUGAAAAUUGUAUUAAUUCAUUUUUUAUGGAUCAAAGUAGGGAUAAUUCAUAGAAGGAGACGACUUAGCCGUGUUUUUAAGAUUAUGGGCGACUAAUACUAUAUUUGCAGCGAAAAGGACAACCUUGGAGUUUCCUUGGAGUUUUUCAAAAGAAAAUUUGUCUGAUGUGAGUGUUUGAAUAAACAGUUGUGAAUUAGCACUUUCAUUUCUCUCUCUCCUUUUCUUUUUUUCAUUUUGGUCUAGCACUUUUAUUUUCGUCUACCCGGCCUUUUACCGGAUCCCGCACAUAUCGAGAGAUUAGUGCACCGGAAUGCCUUUUCGUCUAGCACUUUCAUUUCAUACUUGCCAUUUAGGGUACAUCGAUCUGUGCUGCAACGCGUUUGAUUCUUGAAAGUGCUAGUCUAUUCAAAAUGAAAAGCCUAAAUUUGCUCGUUAGCUUCUAUAGUGUAAAAAUACUUUAAUUUUAUAUAUUGAUUAUAUAUAAAGAAUUAUAAAUUAUUUAUUCUAAAAAUCGGAUAUAAUUGAAUUUAUACGUAGUUCUAAGGGUAUGUGGUAUAACUUGAUACAAAUCAUAAAGAGAAACAGAAAUAUCCAAUCUUGACUAUAAAAACGAAAGAAAAAAACGAUUGAAAAGAGGAAAAUGAAUGAAUCAGAUAAGAUAAAGUAAGAGAGCUCAAAGAAUUGAUCUUUUAAUAUAAGAAAUAGUCUUUUGUUAUAAUGUGUGAAUGUCCUCCCACAGAAACAACAAUCAUUCCAUUUAUAGUGAAGGGAUCCUACUUUAGAUAGAAUAAAAAAUAUAUAGUGGGGAACCCAUGAGGAAUUAGCUUUUCCCUAAUUCCUGCCACGAUUCUCUCCCCUAGUGCGGUUACAACGGCUCUUGUCUGUGAGCUCGAUAUUGACUCGAGCUCGGUAUUGACUCGAGCAUUCGAUCUUGACUCGAGCUCGAUUCUGACACGGAGUCUGGUAUUGAUUCGGGAUCGGUCGGUUUAUGCAUCUUAGGCUCGAUAAUUUUGCUUCGCACUGUAGUUCGAUUUGGAUACGAGCUCGAUAAUGAUACCGAGCUUGUCAUUGAUCGGUCCUAGAACUCGAAGCUUGAUGACCUGACUUCGAAUCUCAACCUGAAGACGCCCUUCGAUCAAAGUAUUAUUAUUUUGACCAGUUCGUACAACGGACUGAUCGGUUUUGACCGUAUACAGAUAGUCCCCUCGUUUCUCGGGAAGAAUAUAACGAGAAACGAUUAGAUAUAUACUGACGUGUGCAUCGAGUCCGAUCGUGACGUACACGAUAGCUGUCCCGUCGGUUCAGUUUACCGAGGUAUUUAAUAUAUGUCAGACGGUGGUCGGCCAUUACCAAUAUUGAACCGUCGCUGCUCAGCCUAUAAAUAUCUCCCUUUUCACCAUUAAUUACUUUUACAUCUUCUAAUCAAAAUUUUCUGAUCAUUUUCUCAUACCUUCUGAAUUAAGCGUGAAAUCUCCCUUCUGUGGUUUUUACCGCAAAAUUUUUCUUUGAAACACCACGUCUUCUUAAUUUCCUUCUUCUAAAUUCAAAAAUGGUGAAAACAUCAAAAACCGUCCCUCAAAAAGAAGAGGCUUUUUCUUCACAGCCCACCGCCGAUAAAACGCCGGUGAAGCCACGACCUGAGGAGUUUGUUCGCGGAAUGUGUCUUCUCACCUCCGAUUUCAAGGUUAAUAAAGGCUCGUUGGUUCCCGGUCGGUGUGAGCUGGUAUUGAGGUAUUUGUGCUCGAUAACAAAAAAUCAACUUGCACAGUUAAAGACAGAUUGCAUCUGGGAUAACAAGGAAGUGGUAAUUUCGGCUCCCGAUGAAGAUAUUACCACCCACGUGUAAGGGUUCCUUAGUGUGUAUACUUACCCUUUUACGUUAGGACCUUUCAACCAUGUUAUCAUCGAUUUUUGUCGUCAAUACCGAAUAACUCUAGGUCAGAUUCAUCCUUCCUUUUGGCAGAUCAUUAUCCUGAUCCUUUUCUUUGCAAACAAGAUCGAGGGGAUGCCUUUCACCCUCGAUCUUCUUAUUAGAUUGUAUAGUCCCCACCUCUUUCGAGGUGGAUUAAUAAAACUUCAAUGCCGGGCUACCAAGGUACUAUUCUCGAGCAUAGAUGAGGACAAUGAUCGAGGUUAAAUGAGCAGGUUCAUUCGAGUGAAGACUGAUGUCAUUCCCCGAAGAAUGCAACAUGAAGCGUAAGUGUAAUUCUGCUACUUAUUCCUUAUCGCCUUGUCUCUUUAUUUCUUCCUUGCUGAUAUCUCUUUUGUGAUGCAGUGGUUCCUUGGAUGCCUGGUGCCGUUCCCGACCUUAAGAGCUGGGUACGGGCCCUGGCUUCGACCUUUACAUAUGCCGAACGUUCGUGGCGUGAUUUGGCAAAGGGCCGAUGGGAGGCCAAAAAUCAUGGUAAGCCUAUUUCUCAUGUUUUAAGAGUUCGAAUGAAAUAUUUUCCACAUAUUCAACUGAUUUUCUUGUGUGUAGGCCUGGGAAGAGAUGCGGUUUUGAGGCCUUUGUUAGGCGAGGAAGAAGUCUCGGCCCCGGUUUCUAAACCGGCGAAGGGAAAUAAGAGAAAAAGGGCCUCUACUUAUGAAGAUCCAAAACCGAAGGCAAGAUCGGCUCGUAAAUCGAGAAAGAAUACCAUCCCUUUGACCUUAGAAUCGGUUCAGCGUCUAAGGGAUGAAGAUGAGGAAGAAGAAGACGAUGGGUUCGUACUGGUGGCCCGAGCGAAGAAGACCACCGAUGCUCCACAGGCAGCUGAAUCGAUGGUGGUUUAUAAGGCUCCGCCUCGAACUGAGGAUAUAUCGAAGAAAGAUUCGGGCAGAGUCCCCGAGUCGUUGGAGAUCGAAGAUGCUUCCCAUCGAAGCCAACAGAUGGGGGAUAUGUCCGAAAGGGCUGUCCCCAAAUCUCUUCGAACUGAAGAGAGCGCCCCAAGUGACUCACUUGGGGCAGUAGCAAUCGAAGACUCGCCCACCUUUCAUGCUUUUUUCGAAGGGUGUGAUUCGGUAAGCCCAAACUUUGGGGGCCCUCGAACUAGACAGGCCUCAUGAGGUAAGCCUUAAAGUAUUUUGUUGGUAUUAUCUCUUAUGUCUGUUUUUCUUUUCUUACUUUAUUUUUUCUUUCUUCGUGGGCCGUGACAGCUCAUCGAGAAGCACGUUCUCGAUCCUGAGCUGAGCUGCGUCGAUACGAGGCCGACCUCCAACGAGUCACGAAGGAGAGAAAUGCCUUGAAACUCCUAUUAGGGCAAAGGGGAGAGGAAAUCAAGGACCUUCGAGCUGAGUUGGCCAAAGCUCACCAAGAUCAGACCGAUCUGUCCGAGCAGGUAAUGAUACUAUUAAAAACAAAUGGGCUCGAUAAUGGAACGAUGGCUAAUCUUUCGAUCUCACAGUUGCAGCAGAAGCUUGAGAUGACCAAAAAACUCCGUGAGGAGGUAGAUGUGAUAAAGGCAGAGUCCUUGAAAUGGAAAGGAAAUAUGGACCGUUUCGCUGCAGAGAAAAAGGCUGCUCGAGCCCAAUUAUCAUCGGCUGAAAGUCAACUUCAAAGUUUGAAGGAGAAAAUCUUGGUUCAAGCAAGGAAAACAGAGGAGCUCGAGGCUCGGUUGGCUUCUGAACUUGCCAAGGCUGAAAAGACAAAGGCUGAUGCAUACGCAUUUGUGGUUGUUUAUCGGGCCGAUGCCGAAGCCGCUCAGUCAUAUGCGAGAGAGGUAGCCGAGACCGCUCGAACUCGAGCACAUUGGAUUGCCAAUUUUUCAUAUGCCAAUCUCGGAGGGAAAUCCUCGGGGUAGGGCUCGCAAGUGGGCCGGUCCCGGGCCUAAACGGGCCAAGUGGGCCGGUCCAAACGGUCCCGGUCCCGGCCCGGUCCCAUAUUAAACGGGCCAAACGGGCCCGAGCCUAAAUCGGGCUUUUUGUAGGGACCGUCCCGGGACUGUUUGGUCCUGGGCUAAACGGUCCCGGCCCACGGGCUAAGUGGGCUAAGUGGGCCCAACAUAUUAUUUUUUUUAAAAAAAAAGUAAUUAAAUAGAUAUUAGAAACAAAAGGAUGUUAAAAAAAAUAUCUAAGACAAUUCUUUGUAAAUUUUAUUAUAGAAUUGUGAUCUAAAUUUUAAUAUUCAAUAUUUAAUAUCGAAUGCUAUAUAUACAUCUUAUAUACUGUCACACCUCCUUUUUCUAGGGAGAAUAUGGUGCCAAAGGAAAGAAAGGGAGUUUUUUCAAUUAAAGUGACAUUAAUCGAAAUGGGAUUAUUUAUUUAAUUUUCAGAGUCGCCACUCGGGAUAAUUAUAUGGUGUCCCAAGUCACCGAUUUAUAUUAAAUCCCAAAUCGAGGAAAUUUAAUUCUGUUUUAAAGUCCGCGAAAAAAAAAUCAGAAGACCGAGUAAGGAAUUCUGUUAACCAGAGAGAAGGUGUUAGGCAUUCUCUGGUUCCGUAGUUUUAGCACGGUCGCUUUUAAUCAUACCUGGCUUAGUUUGUUUAAUUACGUACUUUUAGAACCUACGUGCAUUUUACCUCUUAUCGCUUUUAAUUACUUCAUUAUUUAUAAUUAUUGAAUUAUCUUGAAACGAAUCACGCGUACGUGUAUUCAUUUUGUUUGGUGUGUCAUGAAUCAUGUCACGCGUACGUGUACACAAUUAAUAAUACUUUAUUAUUUUUAAGAUUGUUUUGUCAAAGUUGCGCGAACGCUUACUUUGCCUCUAAUUUGGGAAAAUCGUAACUAUGUCACACGAACGUGUACAUAAUUACCAUAAUUGAUUAGUUAACAUGCGCCUAAAGCAUAUUAGCGUAUUCAGAGUAUUCCAUUUAUUUAUUUAUUUUUAAAAUAUUUUAUUACUAUUAUUAUUUCCUUUACCUAUUGGAACGAGUCUUGAAUUAGUUCAUCGCUCAUCUCGUUCCUUAUAAAUAUUGUUUACCACUCCAAUUAUUUAUUCCUUGAAAUAGCUAAUUCGAAUAUCAUUUUAACACUAAUACAUGAGCUUUCAAACAAAUGCAUAAAUUAAUUACCUAAGAAUCUGUAACGAGACUAAUGAAAACAUUAGACAUGCAUCUUUACUUAAAAGAAUAAAAGAAGAAGUAGAAGAAAAAUGGGCAACCUACUAUUUUGUGCAGCCAAUUCAUUAUAAAAUCUUAAGAUACAACGAUUUAAUAUAUAUGAAUAUAUGUACUGAUUCUAACAUAUUUACAAAGAAACAAGGCUAGGCAACCUGUACAAUGGACUGAACCACGGAAUAAACUUUUAAUAAUCAUAUUUUUUUAUCCAAAACGAACCAAAUUCUAAGGUGUCAAAAAGAUCUAAACAAUGUUAAUGAGAGAGUCAGAAGCACAUUUCAUAUGUAAUAACAAAAUUAAAAAAGAAUUAGCAGAGUUCCUUCUCUUAAAAUAUUUCAAACAAUGCAGAAUUCAUUCAAUCUCUGAAUCACUUUUCAAAAUGCAAAACUAGAACCUUAAAAUAAGUAAAAGAUGAGUAGAUCAUAUAGAAGAGAACCUGUAGAGCAGAGCUUCUUCACUAUAUAAGAGAGGAGCCUCUAAAAUAAUUUUACAAUGACGUAAAUCCAAGCGACAAGCAGCAGCGAGAGAAGAUAGGAAUAUCUCGAUCAAGACUAAAAUCUUAGAGCGAAAACGGAACCCGAACGAUAAACCCAAAGUCGAUUGAAAUUUAAAAUUCUAUUUAAACUCCAUAUUUUCUCCUUAGAAAAUCUUUUAAAUGAAAGGAUGCAAUUUCUUCUUUGUUCAAGAAAAACAAAACCUGAUCCCCCUUAUUUCUUUCUCUCGUUCUUUUCUUUUAGAUAGCAGUAAAGUUUUUUUUCCUCCUUUUU